RNAcentral lists this ribosomal RNA (506 nucleotides) under uncultured bacterium. RNAcentral describes it as "bacterial SSU rRNA". It matches the Rfam family "Bacterial small subunit ribosomal RNA", at positions 19 to 518 of the family's 1533-position model. The record is from RNAcentral.
AUGGCUCAGGAUGAACGCUAGCGGCAGGCUUAACACAUGCAAGUCGAGGGGCAGCGGGAUGUAGCAAUACAUUGCCGGCGACCGGCGGAUGGGUGCGUAACGCGUAUGCAACCUACCUAUACAGGGGAAUAACCUUUCGAAAGGGAGACUAACACCCCAUGGUAUUGAUUUAAGGCAUCUUAGAUUAAUUAAAUAUUUAUAGGUAUAAGAUGGGCAUGCGUAUGAUUAGCUAGUUGGUAAGGUAACGGCUUACCAAGGCGACGAUCAUUAGGGGUUCUGAGAGGAAGGUCCCCCACACUGGUACUGAGACACGGACCAGACUCCUACGGGAGGCAGCAGUGAGGAAUAUUGGUCAAUGGGCGCAAGCCUGAACCAGCCAUGCCGCGUGCAAGGAAGACGGCCUUAUGGGUUGUAAACUGCUUUUACAUAAGACUAACCGUAUAUUUGCGAAUAUACCUGAAUGUAUUAUGAGAAUAAGGAUCGGCUAACUCCGUGCCAGCCGCGGC